CACAGUGCUCACCUCCAGUGAUGGGGACAUCACUACUUACUGAGUUAAAUCCUUCAGUUUUGGAAGAUAGUGUAGAAGGGACAUUUGGCUUAGGCCUAGGCCUAAUGAUCAUGAAGGCCUUCCAAUUCCAGACUUUUGAUAUCAUCUCUAAAUGAGUGAUACACACAAUCCGUAUGUGGAAAUAUUCGUUUGUUAAAUGCAAAUGUUUCAGUCAUAUCACAUUUUAUUUUUUAUUUUUUGCAAAGAUGUGUUAGCCUUCCCCAUUUUUUAUAUACCAGGAACCUGAAUUGUAAAAGAAGACACAUCAUGGCCUGGUCCGCUAUCUACAUCUAGGAGGCCCCAGGAAUUAUCAAAGACCUUUCCAUUGCAGUGUUUCCACUCUGUGUGGAGGGUUAGGGAACAUUGCCUUGGUGAGUGCCUCUUGCUUAUGCCCUGAGUGUCCUUAGCAUGGAAGCAUGGGAACUAGAGGGAGGUCUUGCUCUAAUUAAAAGGGGUUUAAGUUUGCUGCCCAGGACCAACAUUACAUAGCCAAGAGCACUGCUGUUUUGAGGAGGAGGGCAAAUGGUGGGGGGAAGAGAGGCAGUGGCCAAGUCAGGUUUCUCAGGAUCCUAGAGACCCUGCUUGGUAAGGAAUGGAGCAAAUUCCUUGUGCACAUGCCAGGCCGCCGAACCACACAGUUCCAGGGGCACCCUAUGCGUGGUGUUCUAUGCAAAUGUCUCCCAAUGGGGUUGUGCCACAUGGAGGCCCUGAUGCAAACCCCAAUCCCAAAGGGCACUCCCAAAGUAAGCUGGUGCUACAUGAGGGGGCUGAACCCCAGAUUGCAAGGUAUUCACAGACACUGGCUCAUGAGGAGGCCACCGUCCCUCUCCCACCCAUGACCUCUUUGUCCUUUAUCCUGAGAGCAUCUGCCUCUAUUUACACUAAAUAGCUCCAAUGGCUUUUGCUGGUUCCUGUAUUUUGGGCAAGCUGAGCUGGAGGCCCCUGCAGCCGGUCUGAGCAGGUAGCUGUGCUGGUGAUGGUCACGCGGAAGGUCCUGCUCUUCCAACAAAGUUUAGCAAACACCUUAUCUCCCAGAAAACAGAUGAGGUAAUGUUUAUGAAAGAUCACUCUGUCCCUUUCCACUGGGCUGAGGGGUGCCAGUGUGACCAACUUGUGCCAGAAGGUGGACUCUCCUCAGCCACCUUGCUCCCCCAUUCUCCUCUCCUGCUCCCUCAUUUGGGUAGGAAACCUCACUGAUGUCCUUUCUCACCGCAGAUGGUGGGAGAACAGGACUCUCCAUUCCGGACAGUCCAUUCAGGACUCACCUUGGCCUUUGUGUCUCCACUUUUCAAGGCACAUUCACAGCUCCCUUAUAUGAGGAAACUGAGGCAGAGAGAAGUAAAGCAUCUUGGCCAAAGUUACAGGCAGGGUAGUGGCUGGACUGGGGACCCAGGGUCCUACUUCUGAACUGCUUUAUUUGUGAUCACCAUUCAUUUAAAGAUUCCUUAUUUUUGAGAUGGCUGGCUGACUGGAUGGGUGGGAGCUAGCCAUAGAUACAGAUCAAAGAAAGAUAGCUCACAGGCAAGUAACAGGUGGCAAGAUAGAGAUGAUUGUGUAAGUGUAGAUGGUUCCUGAAGGAUACAUAAAAACAUUGUGGACAAUAGUUGCUCCUGGGAAGGCAAUGGGGAAUCUGGGUGAGAGAGACUGCUUUUUAUUCUUCUUUACCUUUGCUUCCUCUGAACUGUUGAAGUAUUUUUCUUGCACACAUAUUAGUUUUUUUAAAUGUUUGUUUAUUUAUUUUUGAAAGAGAGGGAAGGAGAGAGAGAGAGAGAGACAGCAGGGGAGGGGCAGAGAGAGAGGGAGACAGAGAAUCGCAAGUAGGCUCCACACUGUCAGCACAGAGCCUGAGGCAGGGCUCAAUCUCAUGAACCGUGAGAUCAUUACCUGAGCCAAAACCAAGAGUCAGAUGCUUAGCUGACUGAGCCACCCAGGCACUCCUGUACACAUACUAGUUUUAAAAAAUUCCCUUUUCUACUUUUAUUUGUGGUAUGAUUUUCAUGUGUUUGUCCACAGGAGAGAUUGGAAGCCCACACUCUAGGAAAGUCACACAGCGGUGGAAGGUGGGUGACAUUCAGUCUUUGGCAUCUGAGAACCCAUGUGGCUGCCCCGGUUACCUCUAUCCCUGCCUCCGUUCCUGGAGGGCCUGUUUGCAGAGCAACAGCAGAGAUGUUUAUUUCACCGGUGCUUGCAAAUAGGACUGAUUGGGAGCCACCUAUAUCCCCACAACUUAGAACUCGUUAAUGAUCUUCAGUUCAGCUGCAUAAUGGAAUACCAUGCAGUCACUAAGAAUAAAUCAGAAAUCCUAUAAUUUCUGCACUCGGUGUUAGAUUCCACAGCGGAACAAACACCUCUUGCCUUAUGCAGUCUGGUUUCAUGGAUUGCACAGGCUCCUUGGUUGAUCUGGAUGUCAACCUGGGCUGGGGGCUGCUGUUCAGCGUUUAGGGUUCCUCUGAAAGGGAAUGCAGAGAAGUCAAGUCAAAAUGUGUCAAAGAUGUUACCAACAAUCAUGUCUUGGUUGUGAUACUUUGAGUAACUUAUAUUAUUUUUCAGUUUUUCCUUCUAUUUCCAAUAUGCAAAUAUACUUCCUAAUUAAAAAAAAUAAACAUUUAUAAAGAAUCUUGUAGAUAAAGAACAAUAACAGAAAUCACUGCACAGGAGGACUGGAAGGAAAUAAGACAAAAUGCUGCCUUUAGAUGUCUGGCCAGGAAGAAGAUCUACAUGUUCAUGAAAACAUCACAGGAGAAAUAAAUGUGAAAGAACAUCAGGGGAAGACAGACUCAUGUCUUGGAGUAAGGUCUUGCAACUUUGUCAUUUUGUAGUUUGUGUCUCUUGGUGGAGGAGAUUCCAUCCACAGCCAGUGGUGGUGACCCCACACUGCUGGGCCAUUCCUGGUUCCCUUGCUGUGAGUGUGAUACAGGGUGUUGGUCCGCUCUGGGUGAAGGGAAGAGGGUCAUGAAUGGAGAGCAAGGGGAGGCAGAAGGGUGGGCCAGUGGGAUCCGGGAGAGCCCCAAGGAUCUGGGUAACCAAAGCCAAGAGGAGCACACCAACUGCCCAUGGGCUAAGGUCGGAAGUCUGGGGAAGCUGAGACAAAAAAAAAUGGGGGUUCAGCAAGGGGCACACGGAUACUCAAAGCAGAGGGGAAAUUCUACUUAUGGACCUUCAUGGCAUUCCAAAAUGAGUUAACCCCUGGGAGAGGCUAAAUAUUGAUAGUUUUUCUCCCUGUCCCUCUGGCCAACUGUCUUUUUUAGGGGUCCCCGUUAGCCCCAUUAUAGCUCAACCCACCUCAUUCCAUUCUGUUCACCCCACUCUGUGCCAAGCGCUGCUUGGCGACACCAGAGGACUGUGUGUUGGGAUAAGGAAGAAACAAGGUAAACGUAUUACAUGACUAGUGCUGUCCUUCGGGCAGGGGCAACAUGGUAGCUGAUGGGCUGAGGCAGGCAGGAAAGGCUUCCAGAGGAGCAGGUACUGAGCUGGGUCCUCAAGGACACUGUGAGCAGCCUCCCAGCACAUCUGAGAGAGGAGGGCGGUUUCUGGAAAAUACGUAAGAGUGACGGAUGCCCCUGCCAUGUGCCUGGUGGAUGUCAGCUUCUGAAUUGCAGGUGUGUUCAGAGGAGAUCUGGGGCCAUGAGGCUACCACACAGGUGGAGUGGCCUCCAAAGGGCAUUGACUGACCUGCUGAGGGAUCUGUAAUGAGGGGGAGAGACAGGUCUGAUUUGAACUUGGCAGUGGGUGUCCAUGUGAGACAAUAUGGAGAGGUACCUCUGUUAUCCUUGGUAUCGUGUCUUCAUUUGGGGGAGAAGAAAUUCUAAAUUUAUCAUUUAAUCAGAUGACUUUAGAAAAGUAGCUAUCUAGGUGCUGAGAAAAUUGGUUCAUUUAUUCAAACUUCAUUUAUUCAUUCAAAACAAUUCUUGUACCUCAGUUUAUAUUUCCUACUGCUUAAAUUUCUGUGGUGUCUACACAGAUUGUUAAGGCAUUGUUCUAAUCUCAAGAACCUUAAAAACAGAAGGAGGGGAAGGUGAGGACUAACACCAUGGUGUUAACCCAUAAACUGAGCUGGUCACAUCACCACCUCACCACUACUUAAAAUGUCCCAGUGGGUUUCUAUUUCUCUCAGGAAAAGUACAAACUUUUAUCCAGGCCAAAACAUCCCUCUAUGGCCUCACCUCCUGAGACCCAUCUCCUAGCACCUCCCUUCUUUUCCCUCCAUGCCAGCCUCAUUGUCCUUCUUUAUGUGGUCCUUACCAGGCUGUCUUCAACCACAGGCCUUUGACACAUGUUGUUCCCUCUAUCACUGUCAUCUCCCUGGGUUCAUGUGCACUCAUCCUUCUAAGUGCACAUCAAUGCUGCUUCCUCGGGGUAGGCUUUCCUGGUCUAUUUAAAUUGACUCCGUCCUUAGAACACAACUCAUACUCCAUAUAACAUCCUUCAUAAGUCUUAUCCCAGUCACAAGAAUUUUUCAUUUAUGUACAUGAUAACUUUAUUAAUAUCUGUAUUCACCAGACUGUAACCUCCAUGAGAACAAGGGCUGUGCCUUUCCAAAAAAUCAACUUUACUGAGGCAUAAUUUUUGUACAACAAACACACCCACUUCACACGCACAUUUCAAUGAGUGUUGACAAAUUUACACAAAAAUGGAUUCACUGUGUAACCACCAACACGGUCAAGAUGUGGAACAUUUCCAUCGCCUCAAAAAGCUCCUCGGUGCCUCAUCCCAGUCAACUCUCUGCUUUGCUUCCUGUCUCUAUAGAUUAGCUUUUUCUAGAGUUUCAUAUAAAUGGAACCAUGCAAUAAGCAUUGUUGUGUCUGGCUUCUUCCAUUCAACAUAAUGUUUUUGAGAGUCAUCCUUGUUGUUGUAUCAGUGGUUCAUUGCUUUUUGUUGCUGAAUACUCUUCUCCAGUUGGUUCAUGGAAAUUACCUGUGUCUCUUCAGGUAAGCCUUUAGCUCCUUAAGGACAGAGGCCACAUUCUUUGACACCUCUGAUACUUGGUGUGGGCCUAGGCACAUAGGAGACCUUUGGGAGUAGCAGAGUCCAUCUUCCCUGACCCAGGGCAUGGGAGUGGCCACUCUGUACCCACAUUCAACAGUCACCCUGAUACUCACAGUCUUCCCCUCCAUGCCCACAGGCUGACCUUCUUGGCCCAGGGCUCCCAAGCACAUUUACCUCCUUCAGAAUCAGUCUGAUGCCUCCCACAGCAAUGCAGAGAAGUCCUGGACCAGCCACAGCAGUUAGGGGGCAAAGCUGGGAGAUCACAGGCAGAUCAGAUCCCUCUGACACUGGGCACGUUGAUUUCCUUAACUGCCAAACAGAGACACUGCUGUCUACCUCACAGGGCCACUAAGUGGGCACAUGUGUGUGAAAGUGCCACUUGAAGUAGAAAACAAAAUACUACACAGUAAGAGUGAAUUUAAUCAUUUAAUGGAAUUAACAAUGGCCUGUGUUACCUGGGACCCCUUUUCCCUCUCAGUACCUUCAAUUUCUUUACCCAUCAGAUGAAAAGUUGAGCUAGAGUUCCCUAAGAUGCCUUCUGUCUUGAACCUUCUUGGAUUCUAAGGUGCUGGAAUAUGAGAGAAAGGGCCUGAUGAUCCAGAAUUAGAAAAAAAUUUGUGUGAUUUUUUUAGAGAACAACUGACUUCUCUGAAAGUUCUCUUCCCGAGUAAAGGAUUCAGCUCUAGUUGUGAGAACAAACCAAUGUUUUUGCAUUAAUAGCCUUAAAUCUGCCACUCUUUCCAAGCCUGUCAUGGAAAGUACUAGAGCUCCUUUCUUCCCAUGUGCUGGCUGGUGCUAUGUGGCACGUCUUUUGCUGGACUAGAUCUUUGAUGGGUCCUCAUUACUGGAAGAGCAGGAACAGCCUCCCCUUUUGCAAAAGCCAAUAGUUCAGUUCAAAUGACUCUUUGUGGGCCCUGUCACUCAACAAAGGAUUCCUGAGGGCCCAUGUGUGUUAGGGCCUUUAUAAGUGUUGUCUCUCUCUGCCUGUGCUGGAAGUCUUAGACCACAAUUUAAGAUGGAGAAAUGGCUCAGUGAGGUGUGUAACUGAUCACAUUGGAGCUAAAUCACCAGGUCCUCCUUUCUGCUCUAAUAGGCCCUGCACUAGGCCCAGGGGAUUCCAAAAUAGUUCAGUCACACUUGAAUUCUUGGAGGCCAGGAAGCGAAAGCAAUAGUUUAAUAUUUAUUGAAGAGAAACCCAAGGCUGUCAAGGUUGUCACUAAUUCACCAUCUCGUUCAACUCCCUCAUUUUACUGAUGAGCUGACAGGGGUCCAGAGAAGUGGUCUGACUUGCCUGGAGUGACACAGCCAGCUGGCUGCCAGCAGGAGCUGUUACCCAGGCCUCCUGACUCCCAGAUUGGGGCUUUCAUGGCCAGAGCAUGCCCUGGGGCAGAACGGGGACUGUGGCCAGAAACAAGGAAGUGUGGAAUUAGGAACAAGGCUAUAUUUCCAAAUCACUGUGUCCAGCAUGCCGGCUGGGAGCGAAGAAGAAGAAUGGCGUUCUGGGAACCAGUCAGCAGAGACCAUUUCGUAACUGCCCUUAAAAUAGUACAAUGCUGUGUCCUUUUCCUGUGACCUCUGGCAGACUGCAGGACAAAUCUCAGAACAAC
This is a long non-coding RNA of Neofelis nebulosa (Clouded leopard), 6632 nucleotides long. RefSeq lists it as uncharacterized. The transcript is spliced from 2 exons. The record is from RefSeq and is a predicted model, not a curated record. Lineage: Eukaryota; Metazoa; Chordata; Mammalia; Carnivora; Felidae.